This 446-nucleotide ribosomal RNA is filed under the name uncultured bacterium. RNAcentral describes it as "partial 16S ribosomal RNA". It matches the Rfam family "Bacterial small subunit ribosomal RNA", at positions 338 to 795 of the family's 1533-position model. The record is from RNAcentral.
CCUACGGGUGGCAGCAGUCGAGAAUCAUUCACAAUGGGGGAAACCCUGAUGGUGCGACGCCGCGUGGGGGAAUGAAGGUCUUCGGAUUGUAAACUCCUUUCAUGUGGGAGCAAAUUAAAAAGAUAGUACCACAAGAGGAAGAGACGGCUAACUCUGUGCCAGCAGCCGCGUUAAUACAGAGGUCUCAAGCGUUUUUCGGAAUCACUGGGCGUAAAGCGUGCGUAGGCUGAUUCGUAAGUCGUGUGUGAAAGGCGGGGGCUCAACCGGCGGAAAGCACAUGAUAAUGGGAGAUUAGAGUAAUGGAGGGGGAACCGGAAUUCUUGGUGUAGCAGUGAAAUGCGUAGAUAUCGAGAGGAACACUCGUGGCGAAGGCGGGUUCCUGGACAUUAACUGACGCUGAGGCACGAAGGCCAGGGGAGCGAAAGGGAUUAGAUACCCGAGUAGUC